UACGGGGGGAGCAAGCGUUGUUCGGAUUUACUGGGCGUAAAGGGCGCGUAGGCGGCCACCGCAAGUCGACUGUGAAAUCUCCGGGCUUAACCCGGAAAGGUCAGCCGAUACUGCGGGGCUAGAGUGCAGAAGGGGCAACUGGAAUUCUCGGUGUAGCGGUGAAAUGCGUAGAUAUUAGCAGGAACACCGGUGGCGAAGGCGGCUAUCUGGACGAGCACUGACGCUGAGGCACGAAAGCGUGGGGAUCAAACAGG
RNAcentral lists this ribosomal RNA (254 nucleotides) under uncultured bacterium. RNAcentral's name for it is "partial 16S ribosomal RNA". It matches the Rfam family "Bacterial small subunit ribosomal RNA", at positions 524 to 776 of the family's 1533-position model. The record is from RNAcentral.